Molecule: long non-coding RNA, 584 nt
Filed under: Homo sapiens (human)
Lineage: Eukaryota; Metazoa; Chordata; Mammalia; Primates; Hominidae
Description: non-protein coding RFPL1S:12
Source: RNAcentral
UUCCAUCCCUCAAACUCACAGUCCAGAAUCCACGCUCUGUGGUCAGAUGGAUCCUCCCUUUGCGGUGAACAGAUUCUCUGCAGACUCCCAGGUCCCAUUCUGUGCUUGUUCCCACGUCCACCUCCCAGUAGUGGCGGCCACAGGUAAAGCGAGGGGAGCCCAGGAUGCAAAUGGACACGUCAAAUCUCUCGGCAAGGUCUUGCCGAUUCUGUGUGAUGCACCCACUUCGGACGCUCCUGAGGUCGUCAGAAAUGAGGAGGAAGUUGUUGGCUGUGUCGGCAUCCAAGGUCAUAUCCACUGUGAAAAGGAAAAAAAGUUGAUCAGAAAAUGGACAGAAGCCAACCCCAUGCCUCUCCUCUACUUCAAAGGCCCAAAUAUCUCUUGACUUUGGUUUCUUUAAUUCUCUUCUUCCCCCAAAAUCAAAACUUUUCAUGAGGCAACUUCCCUGACUAGUUCAAAUUCUCAUAGGUAUGCUUUGUGGCAAUACCCAACUCUUAUUCACAGUAGCAAUUAUUUUACUUUAUGUCACGUGUUUGCUUCAUUGGACUUUUCUUCAUUUAGAGUGGAGGGUCUCUGAAGGCAGA